This 468-nucleotide ribosomal RNA is filed under the name uncultured bacterium. RNAcentral describes it as "partial 16S ribosomal RNA". It matches the Rfam family "Bacterial small subunit ribosomal RNA", at positions 28 to 507 of the family's 1533-position model. The record is from RNAcentral.
GACGAACGCUGGCGGCGUGCUUAACACAUGCAAGUCGAACGGAAAGGCCCUGCUUUUGUGGGGUGCUCGAGUUGCGAACUGGUGAGUAACACGUGAGUAACCUGCCCUUGACUUUGGGAUAACUUCAGGAAACUUGGUCUAAUACCGGAUAGGAUCUCCUGCUUCUUGGUGGGGGUUGGAAAGUUUCGGCGGUUGGGGAUGGACUCGCGUCUUAUCAGCUUGUUGGUGGGGUAGUGGCUUACCAAGGCUUUGACGGGUAGCCGGCCUGAGAGGGUGACCGGCCACAUUGGGACUGAGAUACGGCACAGACUCCUACGGGAGGCAGCAGUGGGGAAUAUUGCACAAUGGGCGGAAGCCUGAUGCAGCAAAGCCGCGUGCGGGAUGACGGCCUUCGGGUUGUAAACCGAUUUCGCCUGUGACGAAGCGUGAGUGACGGUAAUGGGUAAAGAAGCACCAGCUAACUACGUG